GCCUGGGUGGCUCAGUUGGUUAAGCGUCUGACUUCAGCUCAGGUCAUGAUCUCACAGUCCGUGAGUUCGAGCCCCACGUCGGGCU
RNAcentral lists this transfer RNA (85 nucleotides) under Felis catus (domestic cat). It matches the Rfam family "tRNA". Rfam says of the family: Transfer RNA (tRNA) molecules are approximately 80 nucleotides in length. Their secondary structure includes four short double-helical elements and three loops (D, anti-codon, and T loops). Further hydrogen bonds mediate the characteristic L-shaped molecular structure. tRNAs have two regions of fundamental functional importance: the anti-codon, which is responsible for specific mRNA codon recognition, and the 3' end, to which the tRNAs corresponding amino acid is attached (by aminoacyl-tRNA synthetases). tRNAs cope with the degeneracy of the genetic code in two manners: having more than one tRNA (with a specific anti-codon) for a particular amino acid; and 'wobble' base-pairing, i.e. permitting non-standard base-pairing at the 3rd anti-codon position. RNAcentral also lists the same sequence under 3 other names. Lineage: Eukaryota; Metazoa; Chordata; Mammalia; Carnivora; Felidae. The record is from Rfam by way of RNAcentral.